This 77-nucleotide transfer RNA is filed under the name Desulfobacteraceae bacterium. RNAcentral describes it as "tRNA-Thr". It matches the Rfam family "tRNA". Rfam says of the family: Transfer RNA (tRNA) molecules are approximately 80 nucleotides in length. Their secondary structure includes four short double-helical elements and three loops (D, anti-codon, and T loops). RNAcentral also lists the same sequence under 2 other names. The record is from RNAcentral. Lineage: Bacteria; Pseudomonadati; Thermodesulfobacteriota; Desulfobacteria; Desulfobacterales; Desulfobacteraceae.
GCCCACGUAGCUCAGACGGUAGAGCGCUUCCUUGGUAAGGAAGAGGUCCACCGGUUCGAUUCCGGUCGUGGGCUCCA